Molecule: ribosomal RNA, 253 nt
Filed under: uncultured bacterium
Lineage: Bacteria
Description: partial 16S ribosomal RNA
Rfam family: Bacterial small subunit ribosomal RNA
Source: RNAcentral
GACAGAGGGUGCAAACGUUGUUCGGAAUUACUGGGCGUAAAGCGCACGUAGGCGGAUUGUUAAGUCGGGGGUGAAAUCCUGGAGCUCAACUCCAGAACUGCCUCCGAAACUGGCGAUCUUGAGUUCGGGAGAGGUGAGUGGAACUGCGAGUGUAGAGGUGAAAUUCGUAGAUAUUCGCAAGAACACCAGUGGCGAAGGCGGCUCACUGGCCCGAUACUGACGCUGAGGUGCGAAAGCGUGGGGAGCAAACAGG